This 643-nucleotide ribosomal RNA is filed under the name Microbacterium sp. 09WSH9-8. RNAcentral's name for it is "bacterial SSU rRNA". It matches the Rfam family "Bacterial small subunit ribosomal RNA", at positions 93 to 749 of the family's 1533-position model. The record is from RNAcentral. Lineage: Bacteria; Bacillati; Actinomycetota; Actinomycetes; Micrococcales; Microbacteriaceae.
UAGUGGCGAACGGGUGAGUAACACGUGAGCAACCUGCCCUGGACUCUGGGAUAAGCGCUGGAAACGGUGUCUAAUACCGGAUAUGAGCCACGGCCGCAUGGUCGGUGGUUGGAAAGAUUUUUUGGUCUGGGAUGGGCUCGCGGCCUAUCAGCUUGUUGGUGAGGUAAUGGCUCACCAAGGCGUCGACGGGUAGCCGGCCUGAGAGGGUGACCGGCCACACUGGGACUGAGACACGGCCCAGACUCCUACGGGAGGCAGCAGUGGGGAAUAUUGCACAAUGGGCGGAAGCCUGAUGCAGCAACGCCGCGUGAGGGAUGACGGCCUUCGGGUUGUAAACCUCUUUUAGCAGGGAAGAAGCGUGAGUGACGGUACCUGCAGAAAAAGCGCCGGCUAACUACGUGCCAGCAGCCGCGGUAAUACGUAGGGCGCAAGCGUUAUCCGGAAUUAUUGGGCGUAAAGAGCUCGUAGGCGGUUUGUCGCGUCUGCUGUGAAAUCCCGAGGCUCAACUUCGGGCUUGCAGUGGGUACGGGCAGACUAGAGUGCGGUAGGGGAGAUUGGAAUUCCUGGUGUAGCGGUGGAAUGCGCAGAUAUCAGGAGGAACACCGAUGGCGAAGGCAGAUCUCUGGGCCGUAACUGACGCUGA